GCUCUGCUAAGGCCAUGACCUCGUGUGUCCAGUUCUGAUAAAGCAGAUAUUCACUCUGAAGUACCAAGAAGGAAACAGGGGCGGCAGGGCAGAACCUUGGCCUUUCAACUUCAAGUUCAUUCAUAAACUUCUCCCUCUGCCACUGGCGCUUCCUUGACCUUGGACGGAACGUGACUGCUUUGUUAUUGGGCAAGAGGAGGAAUCCUCCCACCGUGCCAACCUCACCCCCUUCUCCCUUCCCUGAGGAGGAGCUGAGAGUGAACGAGAUGGAGCCUGCCCAGAGAUGGAGUUUUGGGAUGUGAGGAGUUGUAACUCAGAAGAGUCUUGCAUCAACCUCCUAUAUGCUUCAGCUAUGAUGUGUGUCGUUCUACUGCCAACUCAACGAGCAGAACUAAACACAGGGCUCCACCAGCCACAGAGGAGCUGGAGGCUGGAAGCCCAAUCUGCCACGCUCCACAGAG
Molecule: long non-coding RNA, 461 nt
Filed under: Chinchilla lanigera (long-tailed chinchilla)
Lineage: Eukaryota; Metazoa; Chordata; Mammalia; Rodentia; Chinchillidae
Description: lncRNA (ENSCLAG00000028535.1)
Source: RNAcentral